This 487-nucleotide ribosomal RNA is filed under the name uncultured bacterium. Its description in RNAcentral is "bacterial SSU rRNA". It matches the Rfam family "Bacterial small subunit ribosomal RNA", at positions 8 to 507 of the family's 1533-position model. The record is from RNAcentral.
AGAGUUUGAUCAUGGCUCAGAGCGAACGCUGGCGGCAGGCCUAACACAUGCAAGUCGAACGGAUCCUUCGGGAUUAGUGGCGAACGGGUGCGUAACACGUGAGCAAUCUGCCUCGAUGUGGGGGAUAGCCGGCCCAACGGCCGGGUAAUACCGCAUACGCUCUCUGGGUGGCAUCACUUGGAGAGGAAACAUUUUUGGCAUUGAGAGGAGCUCGCGGCCUAUCAGCUAGUUGGUGGGGUAAUGGCCUACCAAGGCUUUGACGGGUAGCUGGUCUGAGAGGAUGGCCAGCCACAUUGGGACUGAGAUACGGCCCAGACUCCUACGGGAGGCAGCAGUGGGGAAUAUUGCGCAAUGGCCGAAAGGCUGACGCAGCGACGCCGCGUGGGGGAUGAAGCAUUUCGGUGUGUAAACCCCUGUUGCCCGGGACGAACAACUGGUUUUGACCAGUCUGACGGUACCGGGUGAGGAAGCACCGGCUAACUCCGUG